This 416-nucleotide ribosomal RNA is filed under the name uncultured Desulfobulbus sp. RNAcentral's name for it is "bacterial SSU rRNA". It matches the Rfam family "Bacterial small subunit ribosomal RNA", at positions 973 to 1382 of the family's 1533-position model. The record is from RNAcentral. Lineage: Bacteria; Pseudomonadati; Thermodesulfobacteriota; Desulfobulbia; Desulfobulbales; Desulfobulbaceae.
ACCUGGUCUUGACAUCCCGGAGACCCUUAGGAAACUAGGGGUGCUUCCAUCUGGAAGAAUCUGGAGACAGGUGCUGCAUGGCUGUCGUCAGCUCGUGUCGUGAGAUGUUGGGUUAAGUCCCGCAACGAGCGCAACCCUUGCCUUUAGUUGCCAGCAGUUCGGCUGGGCACUCUAAAGGGACUGCCGGUGUUAAACCGGAGGAAGGUGGGGAUGACGUCAAGUCCUCAUGGCCUUUAUGACCAGGGCUACACACGUACUACAAUGGCCGAUACAAAGGGCAGCGACACUGCGAGGUGAAGCCAAUCCCGUAAAAUCGGUCUCAGUCCGGAUUGGAGUCUGCAACUCGACUCCAUGAAGUUGGAAUCGCUAGUAAUCGUGGAUCCAGCAUCGCCACGGUGAAUACGUUCCCGGGCCUU